RNAcentral lists this ribosomal RNA (253 nucleotides) under uncultured bacterium. RNAcentral describes it as "partial 16S ribosomal RNA". It matches the Rfam family "Bacterial small subunit ribosomal RNA", at positions 524 to 776 of the family's 1533-position model. The record is from RNAcentral.
UACGGAGGGUGCAAGCGUUAAUCGGAAUUACUGGGCGUAAAGGGUGAGUAGGUGGUUUAAUAAGUUAGGUGUGAAAUACCCGGGCUUAACCUGGGGGAGUCAUUUAAGACUGUUAGACUAGAGUAUGGGAGAGGGUAGUGGAAUUUCCGGUGUAGCGGUGAAAUGCGUAGAGAUCGGAAGGAACACCAGUGGCGAAGGCGUCUACCUGGCCUGAUACUGACACUGAGUCACGAAAGCGUGGGUAGCAAACAGG